GCCUUCGUGGCGUAACGGUUAGCACAACGUAUUCGAGAUGCUCAGGUUCGAGUCCUGGUGAGGGCA
RNAcentral lists this transfer RNA (66 nucleotides) under Stegodyphus mimosarum. It matches the Rfam family "tRNA". Rfam says of the family: Transfer RNA (tRNA) molecules are approximately 80 nucleotides in length. Lineage: Eukaryota; Metazoa; Arthropoda; Arachnida; Araneae; Eresidae. The record is from Rfam by way of RNAcentral.